CGUAGGUGGCAAGCGUUGUCCGGAUUUAUUGGGUUUAAAGGGUGCGUAGGUGGUGGAUUAAGUCUGUGGUGAAAGACGAUCGCUCAACGAUUGCAGUGCCAUGGAUACUGAUUCACUUGGAUGACGUUGAGGUGGGCGGAAUUGACCGUGUAGCGGUGAAAUGCUUAGAUAUGGUCAAGAACCCCGAUUGCGUAGGCAGCUCACUGGACGUUAAUUGACACUGAGGCACGAGAGUGUGGGAUCAAACAGGAUU
RNAcentral lists this ribosomal RNA (253 nucleotides) under uncultured bacterium. Its description in RNAcentral is "partial 16S ribosomal RNA". It matches the Rfam family "Bacterial small subunit ribosomal RNA", at positions 526 to 779 of the family's 1533-position model. The record is from RNAcentral.